GUCUUUCUGUGUUGCCCAGGCUGGUCUUGAACUCCUGGGCUCAGGUGACAUUGGCCGCCUUGGCCUCCCACGGUGCUGGGAUGACAGGCAUCAGCAGUGUUGAAGCCUGUGAGGUGGGGUCCCUGUGGCUGACUCUGCCCUCUCCUGGGGCCAUUGGCAGUGCAGGGGUCCUUGUGUGUGGAGGAAAUAAGGAGAUGAUCAAAGUAUGAUUCCACGAAUCACACGGUUUAUCGUCAAAGAGGAUUUGUUCUCGGGUUCACAGUGCUCAGAGGGGAGGAGAGGGGAGGAGGUGAAGACGCCUGGCAGGGAAGCAGGGCCUCCAUGGAUGGGGUGCAUUCACGGCAGGGAGGUGAGUGGCAGAAUGGCCAGGGUCCAGUUGCUCUGCUGGGAUGGAGCGGGCCCCUGGAGAGUGAGAUCUGGUGAGAGUUCGAGGUGUGCCUUGGUAGCAGUGGAGAGCGUGAGAGCAGGAGCUCUCUGAGAAGCUGGGACCGAGGUCCAGCUCCCAGGCCAGCAGUGUAUAGCUUGCCUCAAAGCAUCUGCACAACCUUCAAGCUGAUGUCUGUUUUUGCAGUCCAGCAGUCAGGGUCAGUAACUCACAUAAGGGAGUGUCUGACAAGGUUUAAGUGGCAUUCCCAAGGUUGCGGAGUUCACUCAAGUCCUCACAUAUGUGGUCUGAUAAGACAUCACACUCUUGCAGGGGGGUCAGGUCACCCCAAAACAUCAGACUAUGUGAGUGCUGUGAAUCACUUCAAAGCUACACAGCAGGUCCCAGGGCCCGAGGCAGAGGAGUGAGUCCACCUCGGAAGGCUCUGAGCAGCUCCAGGCAGUAACCACGGCAUUUCCAGAGUCUGGCGUGUGAGCCUAACAGCUCUGGUGUGACCGUCCGUACUCACCUAGCAGCACGUGACAUCAGCUCUCCCCCUGAAGUCAUUGCUCAGCUCGGGUGCUGCAGGAAGACAUACAGGUCUGUCUUGGGCCAGCCCCUUGCCUGCUGUGGGCUGCUCCCUGUGUGUGGCCUUCACCCCGGUGUAGAGAGAUGGGCUGGUCACACCCCUGCCCCUCACAGCGGUGAGAGGACAGAGGCAUGUGCCGGGCUGUCUGUGGAGCUCCCGGGCCAGUGUCUGGGAUGCGGCAGGUGCUUGGUGUUAAAGGGAAAAUAUUCCAGGAUACCUGUGAAAGCACGUUAGGCAGAGACCAGGCUUUCAUUCAGAACCUUUGAGAGGUGUGGGAACCACCACACUGCGGUCUUGCAGUGGGAGAGAGGCUGGGCUCAGCUCUGAACAGGCCGUGGGCUGGUGGCGGCUUAUAGCUCCAGAGCUGGGCAGGGGCAGAGGAUGGAAGGUUGCUAAGAGGAACCCCCAGGGGCGAAGGGGAUGCAGGUUAAACUGACCUGCCAGAUCAGGCCGCCCGGGGGACAGUGGAAAAUGAGGCGCCUCAUCAGCUGUCAAGGGUGAUGGGACACGGGAGGAGGUUCUCGCUACACAGACUUCGAGCCGGGCCUGUUAAACCAAGUUCUCACCAGGAUGUGCACAGAGGGCCCAGGAGGAGCCUCGGGAGCCGGACUGCCGUUGGCCAAGCAGGGAGUCUGUUAUCCGUCAGUGGACACUCUGCUUCCAGGUGCCCUGGCCUUGGCCCGCGUCCUGAAGGCGGGAGACGUUGCAGCCACGUGCUGGCCUUCCCGGUGCUCCUGCCAGUGUCCUGCUGCUUGACACAGUCCAAGUUUUGUAUCCAGACCCAGCCUGGGACAGCAGCCUCCCAACAGCCCCCAGGCCCAGCCUGUCUGUGACAGUCACGCCUGCUCAGGGAACCAUCCCUCCGUGCAGAUCUGGGCUGUGUUUUGGGUGGUACCUCGGGUGUGGGGUCCCCUACCAGGCGCGAGGUUCAUACUCCCCAGGCUGCCUCCUGUCCUCAGGGCUUGGAGAGUCCCAUGUUGUGAAAAUGACCUCUUUUCGAGCCGGGCGAGGCCACAUCUCCUUUGGCAGUGUAGUGUCUUCCCUGGAGGUGGCAUUCCUUUUUGAUUUGCCUUCUGUGCUUGGGAACCUCACUUCCUCACUCUGGCCAGCUCUGCCAGCAGUUUGGAGCUGGUCCAGCGCCCCACCGCCCUGCCUUGGCCUGCGCCCGGCCCUCCAGGGUGGCUUCUCGCCAGUUCCUGUCAGGCCUGCCUGGGCAACCAGGCCUGGGCACCUCCCUGUCCCUUGCUCAGAAAACCCACAGGCCAUGGGGGCCCGGGAGCCAAGCCUGGUGUGCGGGCAGGAAACGUAUCCUGGAGCACCAGCUUCCCUGCCCUGCCCGCCUCAGGGGGGUGCCUGGGGGCGUGCCUCAGCCUGCUGCUCCUGUAGUCUGUUCUCCACGCCGGGCCUGUCUCCCUGAGCAGGCUGAACAUGGGCAUACGAGUGACCAGCGUGAUCGUGUCCAGGCCAGUGCCACAUUCUGCGUGGUCCAAGGGAAAACCUUCUCCAAGUCCACGGCCGGCCCUUUCCUCUGCUGGGUUACGGCCAAGGGCGCCAGGCCUCACUGGAGGACAUGGAUCCUGGACCCGGCCCUCGAGGCUGCUGCCUUCCAGUUUCCCCAUGUCCUGGACACUCUUGGUCUCUUUGGGAGGCCGACAGGGGAUGCAGAGUGGCCUGCUGGAAAGGCCUUAUGUGACCCCAGGCUGAGUCCCUGAGCAGCCUGCUGAGGCCGGAGGGGAGAAGAGCUGAGCUUCUCCCUUGCUGGGCCAGGCUCGGGCUGUGGAAUGGCUGCCAGCUCCCUUCCUGGGAGAGGUUGGGUGGGGUCCACAGCACCUUCCUCCCAUCCCACAGGAAGCUGUCUUCUGCUGUUGGCUGCUGGGGGCCACCGAUGUUUGGAUCCCUGAGCACCCUGCCAAUCCCAGACUCACCUUCCCACUCUUUCCAGAGUCCCCAGGGAGACACUUAAGGGAAAUUAAACUGCAGAGUGCAAGAGAUGCCUCAGUCAAGUCAGCCAAAAACACACGGGUCAUCCCCGAGCCCCAGAGAGGUGAGUCGGGCAGGGUGCUCAACUGCCGCAGGAGGAUGGUCUUAUUUCUAGCACUUUCCACAGGAAGUAAAUGUGGUGGGUUUGGGGGGUUUUUCAAAUGCAUCAGUGUCUGGAAUGGGUUCUAAGCUGCUAAAUAAUUCUUAGAGGUAAAUGACAGACAUGUUGCCCUAGAUGUAGCUAGACAGCCUUCCCUCUACAGUGAAGUCUCCUCCACCCUCAGUGACAGAGCCCCGAUGACACGGACACCUCGGCUGCUGUCCCUUCCCUGGUUCGGGCCUCCCACAGCCUUUGAAUUGAAGGCGAGUGCCUCAGAAUUUGCAUCCAUUGUUCUGUCUUUCCCGGGAAGUUAUUCAUCCUGGUGGCCAGCCCACCGACAAAAUGGAUUUGGAUCUACUGGACCUGAAUCCCAGAAUUAUUGCUGCAAUUAAGAAAGCCAAACUGAAAUCGGUAAAGGAGGUUUUACACUUUUCUGGACCAGACUUGAAGAGACUGACCAACCUCUCCAGCCCCGAGGUCUGGCACUUGCUGAGAACGGCCUCCUUACACUUGCGGGGAAGCAGCAUUCUUACAGGUAGGUGGGUCCUGGCAUCUCUGCCAGGGGUGACAUGUGGCUCCAGCAUCAUGGUCCCAGUGGUGCAGGGCGGGGGCUGUGCAGACUUCACCCAGGGACCAGCCUCAGGGCGUGUGGCAGCUGCUCCAGCCCCAGAGUUCCCAUCUUGCUUGUCCUACACCCAUGGGGCUGUGGUCACAGCAUCGGGUCAGAAGAUGCGUGAGGUGGACACAGGGGCUGUGGGGCCUCCUGGGGACCUUGCUCCAUGGACCAGAGGAGGGGGUGCAGGAAGCAGGGGUGGAUUUGGCAGUCAGC
RNAcentral lists this long non-coding RNA (3862 nucleotides) under Pan troglodytes (chimpanzee). RNAcentral's name for it is "long non-coding RNA NONPTRT005204". The record is from RNAcentral. Lineage: Eukaryota; Metazoa; Chordata; Mammalia; Primates; Hominidae.